AGUUGAUGGGAUUUUAUGUUACAUCUUUAAGUUAAGGGACUGUAACAUUACAAUUAGAUAAGUUGACGGUUGUUAAAAUUUAUCCAUUAUUUAUAUGUAUUUUAUUGUCUAAUUAAGUAAAAUCAGAUCGGGGCUGUGGUGUGGGUUGCCUUUUGCUCAAAACCAGCUUCUCGGGAAAGAAUGGUCAACCACAGAUUCUAAUAAUAAUAAAAGGAAUGCUCAAAUACAUGUCACAAAAGUGGUUCUGAUUUUGCUAUAAAAUAGGAUUAGCGCCCAGGAGGCCAGGAAAUAAAAGGGUCUCAAAAACCUCUGUGUCUCCACAAUAAAACAAAAAAUAAAUACACAAAACAAUAAUUAAAUGGCAAAAGUGAUUUCAGGCAGGACCUGACCAGGUUAGUUUGUCACAAAGAGAAAUUGGCCCAAAAUAGAUAAGGUAGACUGAGAGAAAGAGAGAGAGAGAGAG
Molecule: unclassified non-coding RNA, 463 nt
Filed under: Hevea brasiliensis (rubber tree)
Lineage: Eukaryota; Viridiplantae; Streptophyta; Magnoliopsida; Malpighiales; Euphorbiaceae
Source: RNAcentral